RNAcentral lists this long non-coding RNA (402 nucleotides) under Mustela putorius furo (domestic ferret). RNAcentral describes it as "lncRNA (ENSMPUG00000026697.1)". The record is from RNAcentral. Lineage: Eukaryota; Metazoa; Chordata; Mammalia; Carnivora; Mustelidae.
GCAGAGCCCUCUGCCCAUUGAAACGUUCUCUCUCUAGUUUUCUGUCUUAUCCCCAUGUCUCUCCUAGCUUCUGUUGCUUCCAAGCACAUAGACUCAAGUCCCUACCUGUGGAUAUCAUGAUCAUUGGGAUAUUUUACCACUCCACGUAGUCAUUUUGUGAAGCAAAGCUCACAGCUCAUGCCUGUGGGUUCCAGUGUCCCUAUUUCUUCCAGGUGUCCUGCUCUUGAUGGUCUCCUCACUGGAAGGUCAUCGUCUGCACAGUCCCAGCUGAGUUCUAGCCAGUGGGAGCCAGUGAGAAGGGUGGAUAAAUUGUGUGCCAAGUCUUUAAUACGUAGAUAGGUAAGUGGCACCUUUCCUCUCUCAUUCCACUGGGAACUUACCUGCAAGGACACCAGGGAGAUG